RNAcentral lists this ribosomal RNA (497 nucleotides) under uncultured bacterium. RNAcentral's name for it is "partial 16S ribosomal RNA". It matches the Rfam family "Bacterial small subunit ribosomal RNA", at positions 28 to 507 of the family's 1533-position model. The record is from RNAcentral.
GAUGAACGCUGGCGGCGUGCCUAAUACAUGCAAGUCGAGCGAACAGACGAGGAGCUUGCUCCUCUGACGUUAGCGGCGGACGGGUGAGUAACACGUGGAUAACCUACCUAUAAGACUGGGAUAACUUCGGGAAACCGGAGCUAAUACCGGAUAAUAUAUUGAACCGCAUGGUUCAAUAGUGAAAGACGGUUUUGCUGUCACUUAUAGAUGGAUCCGCGCCGCAUUAGCUAGUUGGUAAGGUAACGGCUUACCAAGGCAACGAUGCGUAGCCGACCUGAGAGGGUGAUCGGCCAAACUGGAAAUGAGAACCGGUCCCGGCCUCUAAGGGAGGCAGCAGUAGGGAAUCCUUCGCCAUGGGGCAAAGCCUGACGGAGGCAAGGCGGGUGAGUGAUGAAGGUUUUCGGAUCGUUAAACCUUGUUAUUAGGGAAGAAAAAAUGUGUAAGUAACUAUGCAAGUUUUGAAGGUAACUAAUCAGAAAGCCACGGCUAAAUACGUG